GGCCGAUAUUAUUGAGUCUAAAGGGUCCGUAGCCGGCUUUGCAAGUCUCUCGGGAAAUCCAGCGGCUUAACCGUUGGUCGUCCGGGGGGUACUACAUUGCUUGGGACUGGGAGAGGUAGGAGGUACUCAGGGGGUAGGAGUGAAAUCCUGUAAUCCUUUGGGGACCACCGGUGGCGAAGGCGUCCUACCAGAACAGGUCCGACGGUGAGGGACGAAAGCUAGGGGCACGAACCGGAUUAGAUACCCGGGUAGUCCUAGCCGUAAACGAUGCUCGCUAGGUGUCACAACAGUCGUGAACUGUUGUGGUGCCGUAGGGAAGCCGUGAAGCGAGCCACUUGGGAAGUACGACCGCAAGGUUGAAACUUAAAGGAAUUGGCGGGGGAGCACCACAACGGGUGGAGCCUGCGGUUUAAUUGGACUCAACGCCGGGAAGCUUACCGGGAUCGACAGUUGUAUGAAGGCCAGGCUGAAGACCUUGCCGGACUAUCUGAGAGGAGGUGCAUGGCC
Molecule: ribosomal RNA, 507 nt
Filed under: uncultured archaeon
Lineage: Archaea
Description: bacterial SSU rRNA
Rfam family: Archaeal small subunit ribosomal RNA
Source: RNAcentral